Molecule: long non-coding RNA, 99 nt
Organism: Maniola jurtina (meadow brown)
Lineage: Eukaryota; Metazoa; Arthropoda; Insecta; Lepidoptera; Nymphalidae
Exons: 3
Source: RefSeq, a predicted model, not a curated record
UGAUUAAUGAAUGAUUGAUGGCGAUAUAUACAAAUGAAGGUGUAAAUAGCUAUAUCAUGAUAAUAUAAGCGAUAAUGGUACAGUAUAACAACCAUUGAA